ACCACGCUCACUAAGCAGUGCAUGUGACCAAGCCAAAGUACAUUAGUGUUUGAUCAUUAUGACAUUUUGUUUAUUUUUUUAGGUCAAGUAUGAAAAAAAGAAAAAAAACACAAUAAAAGCUAUAGGGCAGGAAGUGUAGUUUAGUGAUGGAGAGCUUGCCUUGUGUGUAAGGCUAUAGGCUUAGUCACUAGCUCUGCAAAAAACAAGUUAAAGAAUGAAUCAGGUAAAAGCUAUAGAAUUAGAUUCAUGUUCAAUAGAGAAUGAAUGCUAAGUAAGGAAGAAAAAGCACACCCUGUCCAGGUUGCUCUAGAAUCUUAUCUCACAUUCUGGAGGAAAAGCAAGCUGCUGGCUGCAUGCUGCAGGGUUAUAAGCACUGUGUUCUGAAUCACCGUAGUUAAGUAUCCAAGGCAGGGGCAUUCUGCUGAGAAAAUGGCAGUUAAGGAAAUUUUUUUGUUGGUGGUGGUUUUUUGAAAGCUAUCAUAGUUAAUGAUAAUUCUGGUACUAAUUUUUAUUGUCUGUAGUUAUUGAGAAGAUAGGAAUGUAUUUUAUAAAACAAUAUUAGAAAGAUUAGUUUGUAACUUUUGUUAUUACUUUCCUGAGAUGGAAUGUGUAGCUAGCUAUCAUCAGGAAGCCUUGGUUUUAGCCAGGUGUGGUGGUUCAUGCCUGCGAUCCCAGCACUACGAACCAUAACGAUUUUGAGUACAGUCAUUGUAGGGCACACACAAAAGCAGAAGACCCUGUCUCAAAAAAAAAAAAAAAAAAAAAAGCCACACAUAUAUGUACACACACCAAAGAAAUCUUGUUUUUAACUGUUUUUCUGUACCCUGAGUUUUUGUUUAAAAAAAAAAAAAGUGUGUGUGUGUGUGUGUGUGUGUGUGUGUUCAUUCUCCAGAGCACAUGAGAACAGAAGUUAGAAUUUGGCAUCAAUUGUUUUCCUUUGUCAACCCCAUUCCCUUUAUGUUUUUAGACAGUCUGUCAAUGAAUGUGGACCUCUCUUGAUUCUCCUAGGCUAGCUGGCUAGGAAGCCCUGGUGGCUGACCUUCCUUUCCCUGUCCUCCCCUAAGAUAGCUCCUACACUUGACUGUUAAAUGGAUGCUGGCUAUCAAACUAGGGUCCCUCAUGCUUAACACAGGAAAUACCCACUGAACUAUACCUACCCUCAAAAAUGUGGAAGAAAGAGCACGUCUUAUAGAAAGAUCCUAAAUUUCUGAAUAAAUCAAAUGAUUUGUAUACAAACAUUCCUGUAUAAAAUUAUUCUCUAGCAGCCUAAUUUUCAUGUCUGAAAAGCACCUCAAAAAGGCUUGGGACUCAUUUUUGUCUACACCAGAGGCAGCAGCAAUCCCUCCCUCAGUUGCUACUGAAAUAUUUGUCAGUACGGGCCUUUUUAAAAAUAAUAUUCUGCUUAUGAGUGUUUUGCCUGCAUGUGUGUUUACCAUGUGCAUGCAGUGCCGUUAAAGGCCAGAAACAGGGCGGUGGGUGUCACUCAGGUACUGGGCAUUGAACCUGAGUCUUCUGGAAGAGCAAUCAUCUCUCCAGCCUCACUGUAGACCAUUUAUGGCUUCAAAGCUUUGGUGAAUAGACUGUCAUUGGCCACAGGUCUAGUCAUGAUAAUUUUUAUGUUAUCUUUUAUAACAAAGAUAAUAUAGAAAAUCCCAACUUAAUAUUUAAACAAAAUUUGUUCUGUUUUUCUCAGUGCUGGUAAUCAGACUCAUGACCUUGUAAAUGCUAACCAACAUUUCUCUCAGAUCCACCUACCUGCCUCUUCCUCCCAGCUGCUGGCAUUAAAGACAUUAAAGACAUGUGCUACCAUACCGAGAUUAUUGAUUAUAUACAUAUGAGGGUCUUCUUUUUUUCCUUCAUUUAUUUUUAUUUUAUGUGUAUGGGUGCUUUACCUGCAUGUAUGACUGUGUACCACCUGGAUACAAUGCCUCUGGAGGACAGGUCCCCUGAGGCUGGAUUACAUAACUGGUUGUGAGCUGCCAUGUGGGUGCUAGGAAAUGAAAUGAACUCUGGUCCUGGAAGAGCAGUAAGUCAUAAAUGGGAAAAGGCUCUAAGAUUGCUUUAUAUCAUUUAAAGACCCAACUUACAAGCAACUCUUCAUCUAUGAGAGAGGAACAUUCAUUCCAAGGUAGGAAGCAAGCAGAGGAAAGACUAGGAUGUUUAGGAGUUUAUAAAUCUGUGUUGACACUUUGGCAAGCAGAAGUAGGUUUGGGAGAGAAAUGUCUCACCCACACAUUUAUAAAUUUGUGUGAGAGAAGAUGGUAUUAAAUGUUGUGACCUUAGUCACUGUGUUUUUAUUUGUUUGUUGUUGCUUUGGAUUUUGUUUUGUUUUGUUUUUAUGGAAGGUAAUAACUUCAUGCUGAUUUCAUAAAUUUUUUUUGAAAGGAAAGGAGUUUGUGAUAUUUGGACCUUAAUACCACUUUUCCCGAAUUUCAGAUGUCAUCUAACACCCAUGUUUACAAUUUAUGUGUUUAUGUGAUAUACAUGAUAUCAGUCAGGAAAGACAUUUAUAAUUUGUAUAUUUAUAUAUAAUUUAUAUUAUAAUUUGUGUAUAUUUCCUUUAUGUUAAUAUUGAAAUUUAGAAAGCUUUUCUUUCUGAGUGAUCUUGGUAACACAGCAUUGGAUGUCCGCUGCCUUAAAGACAAUCUGUGUUACUCAUAGUUUGGAUUCCCCACUUCAUGAUAGCUUAGUUUUAAGCCGCGAUGAAAAGAGUUGUGUGAUAAAGAUGACAUUAGAAUAGUUGCUUUUAGUGCCCUCUUUCUUUAGGCCUGGAGUUUUACACUGUGAAAACUAUGAUUUCAAACUUUUUUUUUAUACUCAUGCCUGUAUGAGAGAUUUUAAGUCACUUUUACAACAUUUUAAUAUUUGACAUAUCUCAAAUCCUAUCAAAUUUUUUGUUCAGGUGUAAGGGUUUUUGGUUUGUGUAGUCACUGAUUUUUUUUAAUUUUCAUUUGUUAAAAUCCAGUGUUUAUUGUUUAAAAUUCACAUAAGAGGAAAUCAGAUUAGACAUGAAAAUCCUCUGACCAGGAUUUGACUUUUUUCUCUAAGGCUAAAGCUGCAGAGAAGAUUCUUAAAGUUCUGCUUUUGCCAUUAUUACUGUUUGUGUUUAUUCUGUCCAGUGACAUAACAGCUUGAAGCAUGCAUGAAGCACUGAGCACAGUUCAGAUUCAGACCAAAUCAUUACCCAGGGCUCUGUUUUGCACAACCAGGAAAGGUCUGAAGAGCAGAGGCAUGAAAACGAAGUGCAUUGGUUAAGUUCCUCAAGUUUUGUUUUGAACUAUCUAAACUUAGUUUUGGGGAGAAAUUAUUUGCCUUCUACCAGAAGUCCCAAUUUCUCAGUAUUUAGAUUUGUAUAUCUGUCCAUACUCAUGGUGUAUUAUCUUACUGAGAAAGAUGGCAUAGUUGAUCUCUGAGAUUAUAAAAGGAGCUCUAAUGUUUUAUGAGCUGUUACCAACCCUGUAUUAAAAUACCAUGAGUCUAGGAAGACCUCUACAAGGCUUUUUCAAAACAAAAUUCAUCUCUUCAUAAAUAUCUUAUGAAAGAAAAUUUAGAGCCCUCUUUAAAGAAGCUUUCUUGCUUUCUAUAAAACUCUUAAAAUUUUAAUUUCAAAGUUAUAUUGAUAUUAAAACAUAAAUUCAGUCUUGUCUUAAAAGUGUAUUACAAUUUAUUUCUUGCCAUUUUUGUGUAAAAUUUGCAGAAACAGUGUUACACCGUGCGCUCCAAAGGUAAUGUCUCAUUACUCUAAGGCUCUCUUUCUCUCUCUCUUUCUCUUUCUCUCUCUGCCUUUGUUUCUUUAAUCCUAAUGUUACAUGUAUUGAAACAUCUU
This 3826-nucleotide long non-coding RNA is filed under the name Mus musculus (house mouse). Its description in RNAcentral is "long non-coding RNA chr9:121734690-121738516". Lineage: Eukaryota; Metazoa; Chordata; Mammalia; Rodentia; Muridae. The record is from RNAcentral.